UACGAAGGGGGCUAGCGUUGUUCGGAUUUACUGGGCGUAAAGCGCACGUAGGCGGAUCGUUAAGUCGGGGGUGAAAUCCUGGAGCUCAACUCCAGAACUGCCUUCGAUACUGGCGAUCUCGAGUCCGGAAGAGGUGAGUGGAACUCCUAGUGUAGAGGUGGAAUUCGUAGAUAUUCGCAAGAACACCAGUGGCGAAGGCGGCUCACUGGCCCGAUACUGACGCUGAGGCACGAAAGCGUGGGGAGCAAACAGG
RNAcentral lists this ribosomal RNA (253 nucleotides) under uncultured bacterium. RNAcentral's name for it is "partial 16S ribosomal RNA". It matches the Rfam family "Bacterial small subunit ribosomal RNA", at positions 524 to 776 of the family's 1533-position model. The record is from RNAcentral.